Molecule: long non-coding RNA, 1206 nt
Organism: Cavia porcellus (domestic guinea pig)
Lineage: Eukaryota; Metazoa; Chordata; Mammalia; Rodentia; Caviidae
Exons: 2
Source: RefSeq, a predicted model, not a curated record
CCUUGUUUUUUCUCUUUGUCUUUCUCUCUCCUGAAGGUCUGGCUGGCUUCCUGGGGUGCCUUCCUCUUUUCCUGUGUACUGGAUGACUUCUGCACUUUCUACUAAGCUGCAGGAUAUGUGGUAGAAGAGACAUCAGAUGCCAAUGUGGAAGACCUAGUGUUUGUCUGGGUGAAGGAGUUAAACACAUUUCAGAUGGAGCCUGGAUGUAAAGCACUACAGUGGAACUGAGGAUACCACAGCGAGCUUCCCUGGGGAUGGUGCCUGGAUUCUCAGUCUGAGGAGGAGAGGAAUGGACAGGACUGAAGCAGGAUGAACAGCUGCUGGUCUGCCCGCUGCCAAGGCUUGGCAGAAUGCUCCUGGGGAAGCAGUAGGCACCUGGUUCACACAGGACCAGCACAGCUGGUCCAGCUUUUGAUUGGCAGAGUGUGGCUUCCUUCAUCACCACAGUGACUGGCCCUGUGAUCUUGCUGCAGCCUGCUGAAAUGGAGAGAAACCCAGUGAAAGCUGUACACCUCAUGGGAGCAGGUGCAAGUCACAUUUCACUAAUGAACAAUGGGCACUUUGCACACAGAAGGCUUUGAUCCGAGCACUAAAAAGCCCCUCUGUUGAACAGGCUGUUGGCCAAGGCAGUCAGCAGUAAGAAGCAUUGGGAAGAAUCCUUUAUCCAGGAGAGUCAAUGCAACAACAGUUGUCAGAUUUCACUGUUACAGAGUCAAACACUCAAUUUCAGUGAUCUUGUUGAGAAAAAGCAAUGCAUUAGUAGCAGAAUAUUCAUGAAACCUUAGAUUCUCAUAAGUCACAGAUGAGGUCCACACCUCCAUCUCUAUCCCCACUGCUCAUCAACUAAAUCAGUAUUAUGUGCUUGCUUAUCCCAUGGUUCAAUACUUCCCAUAAAUAUAGGUACGCAAUUAUUUUACUUCAUAAACCAAUUGAUUCUAGACUUGGACUAUUCCCUCAAGGAGUAAAAUAUUUCCUCUAAACUUUAAACUCUCUUCUAUGCAUUGGUUUCAGUUCUGCCUUAUGGGUUUAGGUAGGAUAAUUCUACCAAAGAAGUGGGCAUCCAUGUGAGAAACUUCCAGAUAUUUGGAGACCAUUCUCGAGUCUUCUAGAAAAUAGUUAUGGAGUAUAUUUUAAUAAAUAUAAAAUACAUGAAUUAAUGUAAAAUGAAUAAAUUUAUAAAUAUAUAAUAAAUAAGAUAUAGCUCUA